CUCUGGCAUAAUUGUUGGGUUCAUUUAAGUCAAUUGAAUUUUCCUCGGUGCAAUCAGUAAAAUAUGAUUAAAUUCAAAUUGAUAUUUUUAUAAUAUUUGAUUGAAGACUCCGUUUCUCUCGUUACAAUUGUAUUUUUCCCAUUUCUGAAUCCAUAAGAAAUAAUAAUUUCCUGAAACAGCUAAACAAUUCAAUCAAAGUUAAAUUUAAGAAAUUGCCCAACAUAUCUGAAAUAGCACCUUAAAAUAUUGUUCUAUUAUUUAUAUAUAAAAAAACGCAUUCAAACAUGACUUUACAAAUAAAAUUAAUCACAUCUUCUUCAUAUACUAGUUUAAUUUCAAGAAUAUAAAAUAGGUGAAAAAAUAAGAAGGCCUAAUGCAUGUGACACUUAUGAGUAAACUUUCUCUUUACACAUGUCAUACACAAGGAUGUAAGAAUAAGUUUGAUGAAAACUGACAGUCACUAACAUUUGAGUAAACUCAAGAUGUUCCAAAAUUUUAUGUGAUACAACCAAGAAUUAUAUAUCAUUCUUUAAAAUUUUAAUACACUACUAUAAACAAUCACUUAGAAACAAAUAUUUUGCUACAAUAAUAGAAUUGACUAUAUCAUAUUUAGCAGCUAUAAUAAAUAUGUUAAUAUUUGUAACCAACACUUCAGAAAUACAACGACAUUAAUUAGUUUAAUUUAUUUACUUAAUAUUUUUUCUCCAGAAUAAAAAUUUAUUUUCAUUAAAUCUAUAUUUUGUUGAAGUGAUAUACGUGUUAAAAUGAGUAUAACUUUUGAAUGAAGACCUGCUCUAGUAAAAUCUUUUAGUAGAACAUAACCUUCAAACUUUAGAAAAAAAAAUUAGCAUGAAAUUGGCUUCACAAGAAUAAUAAAAUUCUGAAAAUUUAGCAGAACAUAAUCUUGCGUACAUGAAACUAAUAACCUAACCACAAAAUAUUGUGUUUAUAGUUAGUUUUUUUUUUAUAUAUAGAAAACAAUUUUUUAAACUAAAUCAAAUGUCAUGUGAAUUGAGAAAAUUCUAGAUUUUAAAAUAAGGAAAAACAAAAUUCUUUUGACAUUAUUUACUCCAACUAAAUUAAAUACGAAAGAAAAUUAAACCACUAAAGCUAAAUCCCAAAAUCUAUGUGAAGAAAAAUAAAUAAAUUUCUCUUUUAUAUAAUUAAUCUUCGAAAUAUAGAUCUAAGAAAAGAUUUGAGGUUUGUAGUGAGACUGUCUAUUUUCUAAAGGAUAGAACUUUUCGUCAAAGAUCCUUUUUAAAGCAUUAGUAACACAUUUUUUCUGGUUAACCCAAAAUACACACAGACUUAAUUUCUUAUUUAGGUCAGAUUCCCCUUGCUCCCACCCCUGUUUCGCCAUAAAAUCAGAUAUUAAAAUAAAAAAAUUAACAAAUUAUAAUUAAAAAAGUUAAAAUGACAUGUCUAUAGAGUCAUUGACUAUUAACUAGAGAAAUAAUCAUUUAUAAUACUAAAAUACACUUUAAACUUAAAUUAAAUUUAUGAAAAUUAUAAAACACGAUCGAUGAAAAUGUUCACAAGAAAAUCAGUUGCCAAAUAAAUUGUAAUUUUUCAUUUAUAAUGAUUGUUUCAAAACCUUCAUAUAGGGACACUGAACAAAUUUUACCUCAACAAAAUAUUUCAUAAAAUGGUGAACGCUAGUUGAACAAUUUUAAUAAGGUAAGACUGAAUAUACUACAAAUCACUCAACGCCUUUGUCACUUUGAAAAAUCUGAAAAUCAAAGAGUCUUGUCAAUAUCACUGGUCUACAGCAAGAAUAAAGACGAGAAACAUUAGUCUCUAAUAAAUUAGUUAUAUAAUUGUCUACAUUUUUUAUGAGAUAACAAAACGAAGGCAAGAUACACCAUUAAUUCUGGAAUAAACAAAAAUGUCCUAAUUUAAAAAAAAUAACGCAAAAAUCAUAACAUAAAAUUUGAAUCUUAACCAUGAAAUUUGCCUCUUUGAGAGAAAGACUUGUGUGAAUUUAGAAGCACAAAUUAAAACUUAAUAAUCUUGGUUUGAAUAAGCAAGUACACAAAAAAAAAAUUUAAAAAGGAACAAAUUGACCAAUGACUCAAUCAAACAGCAAAACAUAAAGACAAGAAUAAUUGUCAUGGAUCAAAGGACAUGGCCAGAUAGACAUGAUUUCUCUAAAAAAAAGAGUAUAUGAUCGCACAAAUAACUGAAUUUAUGAACGAAGAUCUACGACAUGCUCAGAGGCAUUAUUUCUCUAAUAAAACCUAGUGUCACAAAUAACUAUAAUUACAAACCAAGACCAAUCCAUACAUAUAUUCAGUCUAAAACGCUUAUUCUCAUUUCAAAAGUGAAACAAGAACAUAAAAAAUAACUCACCAUUUUUACAAGAGUGUAGUAAU
Molecule: long non-coding RNA, 2372 nt
Filed under: Solanum lycopersicum (tomato)
Lineage: Eukaryota; Viridiplantae; Streptophyta; Magnoliopsida; Solanales; Solanaceae
Description: long non-coding RNA (SLYC_LNC000024)
Source: RNAcentral